Molecule: ribosomal RNA, 477 nt
Filed under: bacterium UASWS0122
Lineage: Bacteria
Description: bacterial SSU rRNA
Rfam family: Bacterial small subunit ribosomal RNA
Source: RNAcentral
CGAAUGGAUUGAGAGCUUGCUCUCAAGAAGUUAGCGGCGGACGGGUGAGUAACACGUGGGUAACCUGCCCAUAAGACUGGGAUAACUCCGGGAAACCGGGGCUAAUACCGGAUAACAUUUUGAACUGCAUGGUUCGAAAUUGAAAGGCGGCUUCGGCUGUCACUUAUUGAUGGACCCGCGUCCCAUUAACUAGUUGGUGAAGUUACGGCUCCCAAUGCAACCAUUCGUUACCCAACUUAAAAGGGGGAUCGGCCAAUCUGGGAUUGGACACGGCCCAGACUCCUACGGGAGGCAGCAGUAGGGAAUCUUCCGCAAUGGACGAAAGUCUGACGGAGCAACGCCGCGUGAGUGAUGAAGGCUUUCGGGUCGUAAAACUCUGUUGUUAGGGAAGAACAAGUGCUAGUUGAAUAAGCUGGCACCUUGACGGUACCUAACCAGAAAGCCACGGCUAACUACGUGCCAGCAGCCGCGGGUAAU